This 253-nucleotide ribosomal RNA is filed under the name uncultured bacterium. Its description in RNAcentral is "partial 16S ribosomal RNA". It matches the Rfam family "Bacterial small subunit ribosomal RNA", at positions 524 to 776 of the family's 1533-position model. The record is from RNAcentral.
UACGAAGGGGGCUAGCGUUGCUCGGAAUCACUGGGCGUAAAGGGUGCGUAGGCGGGUCUCUAAGUCAGGGGUGAAAUCCUGGAGCUCAGCUCCAGAACUGCCUUUGAUACUGAAGAUCUUGAGUUCGGGAGAGGUGAGUGGAACUGCGAGUGUAGAGGUGAAAUUCGUAGAUAUUCGCAAGAACACCAGUGGCGAAGGCGGCUCACUGGCCCGGUACUGACGCUGAGGUGCGAAAGCGUGGGGAGCAAACAGG